CCCUCAGAUCCCUCAAUCCCCUCAGCCCCUCCUUGGCUGCCAUUAUUAUUAUUAAUUAUUAUUAUUAUUAUUAUUAAUUGCAUUUAUAGUCCUCCCCAUAACUCUCUCCCCGGCCGGCUCUGCUCCGCUUGACCAGUGUCUCUGAAGCGAUUUCCGUUUUCUCCCCUUUGGGACAACAGAGUCCUUUCAAGACCAAGCAGAAAGGCUCCUUCUUCCCUGCAUUUUCCCGCCUGGUCUCUGGGAAUUUCCCCUUUUUCCCCCUGAGGGAAUUCAUUUCUCCCUUCUCUGCCCUCAGCUGCAUCUCCUGUGCCUGAGGGACAUUUCUUUUUGGGCCUCUUUCUGCAUCUUCCGCCUGAGUUUUGGCUCACAAUAUUUGACGUUUUCUCUUCAGCGCAGCCUCUUUUUCCUUGUCCGCCUUUUUCCCGCCAACUGAAUCUGUUUUCUUCAAAGCCUGAGCUUCUCUGUCAGGUUUGGGUUUCCUCCAUUUUGUCUCCUGACUGAAAUUCCCUCAGAGGUUUUCCCUCCGUUUCUGCUUCUGCCUGACUCUCUCUUCCCUUCAGGAGUCCUGGGUCACGGUGGGGCCUUCUCCUCACAGAACUCUCUUUCCCUCACAAAAUAGACAACUUUCUGCCGGAAUUCAUUCUCCUCCUGAGUUAUACUUCCUGUCAUGACUCUUCCACCAUUUGAGGCAAACCCUCCAACUCUCUAGGACUCCUAGAGAUAUAUAUAUAUUUAACCACCACAGGUUCUCUCUUGGAUUUUGUGUGAGGGAAACCUUAGAUGCUUGGAGACUCAGGGAGACGUUGAACGGAUAAGAAAGGUUUCAUUUACAAAACCAAGUUGGUAAAACAAAGAAGGGUCAGGAGUUGUGUCCUUUCAGGAAACAGUGAACUUAUUCAUGACACUAAACCUAAAGAGCUUUCAGCCGUUAAAACAAAGAAGUAAACGCACAGCUUCUCUUCAACUUCUCUGGCUAAAAAUCAAAGGUAGAUGUUCCACUUUCUAGAAGAGGAGGUGAAAUGCUUCACUCGGUUCCUCUUUCCUCCCUCUCAUUCCUUUACUCAGUUCUGAGUUCAAUCCUUUGGACGCAGCCCAGCUUCCUUCUCUGCUUAAAACUGGGGCUCCCUUUCCGUCACUUCCCCUCUCUCUUGGCAAUCCCACUCCUCAGGGGUUUCCAAAUAGCAACGCAUAUCUGGCUCUGCGGGGGUUAAGCUGUGUAACACUUAUUAUUAUUAUUAAUAUUAUUAAUUUAUAACCCAUGCUUUCCCUUAAGUUCCCAGGGAAGAGGACACCAUUAAAACCAUUUAAAACAAGUUGCAGUGACAGAAAGAAACUGAGUUGUUCUUUUCCUGGCUUUUUAGCACUUUCCCGCUCACAUGAACCUUAGUCUCAUGCAUGUGGCCCUCAGGGGCUUGGCCAGAUCAGGAUUUGGCCCUCAGAACAAGAAAAAGGGAUCCCACCCCAGGAGUCUGUCUGGAGAUGUUGGAGAUGCAAAGUGCUAGAAGCAGAAAUGUGUCCUGAAGGGGCUGGGAUGGAGAGCAACUCUUGAGGAGCCCAGGAUGAGGACCCUCAAUAGUGUCCACACUUGGAACAAAUGAUUCACUUCUCCAUCACUGUUCUGCUUCUAUCCCUGGGCUGAAAACACCGAGAGGCAGGAGCCACCAGGCUCCUUCGUCGGACAGAAAUCCCUUCCGUUGCCUCCACUUUUGGCCUGGUCAAAGAGGAUUUCUUCUUCUCCUCCUUCCUUCUUCCUUCCUUCUUCAACAAAGCUCAGAGUCUGGCCUGUGGUGCAGUCCAGUCCUGGUUCCUAGCAAGACUCAUCCACACUUGCUCAGAGAACCGUUCUAUUCUCCUGACAGCGGGUCAAUUUUAUAACAGAACAAUAUAUUUCCUUUGUAGAGUUUGCCAGCACCUCUCAUUCGGACAGACAGAACUUGACAGAGAACCAAGGGGUUCCUUCUGAUCUUUUGGAGACUUCCUGAGAGCAAAGAAAUAUGUUUGGAGAAGGGAGGGGGCAGAGAAAAGAAAGCGCUUCUUGGUGCAGUGCAGAGUCAAGCCUAUGGAACUCCCUGCCCCAGGAGGCCAGGCUGGGACCAGGGCAGGGAGGAGGAGGAGAGGCUCUGCUUGGCUUCAUGCAGGAGGGCUGAGCUCUUGUCUCCCCAGAGAUGCUUCUGAAUCCCAGUUGCUGGAAGGAAGCGCAGGGGGAGAGAGGGGAUCUUGCGCCCCAUCCUGCUGGGGGGCUUCCCCUUGAGCCCCCUGUGAGAAUCAUAGGAUCAUGGAGUUGUAGAGUUGGAAGGGAGCAUAAAAAAGUCCAACCACAAUGAACCAUUUCCACAUAGAUCCCAAGGAGCUAAAAAACAGAGAUGCAAAAAACCCGACAGCUACGAACCCCUAUGGCACAUUCACCCCUGGGUGGACCACACACAUCCCCGGCGAUUAAAUCUAGCACCCUGGUACUUCUCUUUUCAGUGCGUGGCGGGAAAAGAGGUUUACUUAGUAAUGCAACUUACACACUUGGUUGUCCCCAAGCACAGAGUUCUGGGUCUGCGUCGUCCUUCUGGCUUUUGUGUGCCACGUCUGCAGUCUGGAUUUCUGAGAGAUUAGUCUCAUAGGCCGUCUUCAUCAAAUCACUUCUGCACACACCUGGCCAUCUUUGGUCACUGGCCAGGUUGCAAUUCAAUCUUCAGCUCAGACAAUUAGGUAGUGCACUGCACAUAUUGUCAAAAGUAACAUUGCGUUCUGGUUGCUGUUGCCAGUUCCUCCUUUCCCAAUAUUCCCA
This is a non-coding RNA of Podarcis lilfordi (Lilford's wall lizard), 2779 nucleotides long. The record is from the annotation of a GenBank genome assembly. NCBI's taxonomy places the organism in Eukaryota, Metazoa, Chordata, Lepidosauria, Squamata, Lacertidae.